RNAcentral lists this long non-coding RNA (2264 nucleotides) under Lactuca sativa (garden lettuce). RNAcentral's name for it is "long non-coding RNA (LSAT_LNC001387)". Lineage: Eukaryota; Viridiplantae; Streptophyta; Magnoliopsida; Asterales; Asteraceae. The record is from RNAcentral.
UAGCUUCUUCUUCUCUCUCAAUUCCCUCUCUCACAGUUACAACAUCACCACCAUGAAUCACCUCCCCAACCCAUUCCUGCUGUUGUUUUAAAUCACCACAGCCCCCUCCCUCCUCCUUUUUGGUCUUCCUUGUUGAAAUAAUCAAGAAGGAAGCUUCAGAAGGCCACCGGAGUAGCCUCCUGCCACCACCGAAUCACCCUCCUGCCGGCCAUCACCCACCACCCACUGCAACCUUCAAACACCCACUGUCACCACCCGAGAACUUCAUCCCUAAGCUGUCAUUGCUAUUAAUUUCGAUCCCCAAAAGCUUCUUCACAAUUCCUUCAUCAAAAUAUUGUUGAAAGAAGGAAGAACGAAGGCAGCAGCACCGAACUACCACCUCCGUCAGCCCCCGUCGCAGCUCACAGCCACCACCAGCACCGCCGGUUUCUGCUGCUGCUCCACCUUUGUGAGUCAUCGCCACCCUCCCUUUCAUUUUUAUUUUGUUCUCAUCGAGUUAAACAAAUCAAGGACCAUUGUAUAUAUUUUGGUUGUGCCUUCGGUCUAUCACGAAAACGAAGAAGACAAACAGGAGGUUUCCCUCCUGUUUAUGAAUCAGAUACACAAACAUGCAUGCGAUUUUGCCACAUACAGUCCCCCAAAUAUGAUAUUGUCCAGAUUCAACCCCUUACUCCCAAAAACUCUUUUUAAACUAGGUCCUAAGUCCUAAACAUACAUUUGAAAUAUUCACAAUCUACCCAAAAUUCGAAAAAUCCUUUCAAUAGAAGCUCAAAAUGUUAAAAUAGAAAUUUCAUAAAUUCAUUUUUACAUAUAUACACAUUUUUAUAUUUGAUUGUUGUUAAAUCUUCAAUUAUAAAAUUGUAUUUUGAUUUAAAUAAAAUUUUGGGAUUUAUUUAAAUAUUUUGGGAAAAUAAUAAACUAAAUUUUUAGAAAAAUUUAUUUAAAUGGAUUAUUUAAAUAAAUUUUGAGAUAAUAAACAUUUAGAAAAAUUAUAAAUCAUUAUACUAGUUCAAAUACCCAAUCUCUACCAAAUAUUGAUUUAUAACAAAUAUUUAUAGGAAAUUGGAUUUAUCCCGGAAAUCACGACCUCACGGCAACACAUCUCGACUUUCAGAACUAAUCGUUAACCACUCGAUAAGGUGAGAGUUACGGCCCCUUUUCAAUAUUUUAUUUAUUUUUGGGGAAGAAUACAUGUGUUAAAUAGUAUUUAUUAUGCAAAUACAUAAGUCUUAUAUGAUAUGCAUGCUACAAGUUUAAAGUUAUAAAGACUUCCAUAUCUGAAUACUAUCAUGCAUAAGGCUUUUCACACUUAUACAAGAUCGUUAUGUUAAAAUACAUAACUCUAUAAGAACGAGUAAUUUAUACUUUUAUAAAUACGUCAACCAUACUCGACUUUACAAAUACUAUACUACGAAAUUCAUUAUGCCCGGUACUUAUCUAUAAUUAAGUUAGGGCUGAGAGUUAUUCACAAACUUUUCGUUAAUGGUUUUUGAGUGAGACGCUACUAUUCAUUAGCUGAGUUUAAUCACUUAGCCUGCCCCACACUGCUAUAAUCGUUAAUCUUCGGAGCGAGUUACAUAUAUAUAGAUCUAUAUGGGGUCGACAACCCCACCUGCGGUUGCUAGCUACAACCAUCGACUGAUCAAUCGAAGCAGGUGAUAUGUGUCUACGAUCGUUACUAUGAUGUCCAAUGAAGCGUCGUAGGGAGGGGUACUUUUCGUUUAUAGCUCGAUUAUAGAACUCACUAAAAACAUUAACACGAAUGUCUCUCACUUUUUCACUACAACCAUAGGUUUGGUUGCUUUCAGAACUAUUUUUAAGUAUACUGGUUACUUAUACAAUGGAUAUAUUUAAACUUUCAUGAAGUUAUUACAAACACGUUUUCUUUAAAAGCAUAGAUUUAUUUAUAAAAUUACUUUUUGGCUUUUAAAGACUCAUGACAAGCAUUGUUUCAACUAUUGUUAUACAAGAAANAAAAUAUACUUUGGACUUUUGAAAGUAUUAUUACUGUGGCUAGCAGAAAACCUGUGACUCUCGCCAACCUCGUGUUGACUUUCAAAAUACAUGUAUUCUCAGGAAAUCAGUGAAAUUUCAGGCACACUCAGACGAUGGAAAACAUGGCUCGCAAGUACUUUAAUUUUAUACUUUUGAACUAUUAUGCCUAACUGUUAAGGCAAACUCGUAUUAUUAUCUUAUUACUAUCUGUAAGAAAUUUGUAUGAAAACAUAAAUAUGUAAUGAAAUGUUGUUUUGUUUAUUGUUGUA